RNAcentral lists this transfer RNA (16 nucleotides) under Colostethus sp. TNHCFS4966. RNAcentral's name for it is "partial tRNA-Phe". Lineage: Eukaryota; Metazoa; Chordata; Amphibia; Anura; Dendrobatidae. The record is from RNAcentral.
AAAGUUUUCCAACACA